Molecule: long non-coding RNA, 1015 nt
Filed under: Olea europaea (common olive)
Lineage: Eukaryota; Viridiplantae; Streptophyta; Magnoliopsida; Lamiales; Oleaceae
Description: long non-coding RNA (OEUR_LNC013824)
Source: RNAcentral
AUAUCAAAUCGUUCUUGUGAAUAAAAUUUUAUCCAAGUCACACAAUGAUCGCCCCAACCAUCUUGGUCAUUCUUCAUCUAGGCUCAAUUGACUUUACCUUUUUUUCAAUGGAUAUCAUCACUUCUCAUUUUACCUAUUAUAGUAUGAACGUGUAUCUAUCUGAAAAUUCUCAUUUCUAAUACGUUCAUAAUAUAAAUACUAAAGUUUGUCUUUAACGAUCCAACACUCUAUUGUAAAGUAUAGCUUUGGAGAGUUUUGAAAGAAGUAUUGUUACUUUUCCAUGUGCUUCAACAGUUUGCUUAGGAUACUGAUUUGUGCCAUCAACAAAUCGAAAUAGAUAUUCUCUGUGUUUUCUAUUUGGGUAUUUGAAUUUUUGCAGUUGAUCCAUUUAAAAUUAAAUCAAUUUCCCCUGAAAGCUGCUCUUUUUUUCCUUCUGAGUUACAUAAAUUGUAGGCUUUUGCUAGUGCUAAAAAUAUUAAUCUGCUAAUUGGUAUUGAAUAAACGGAAAAAGAACAAGAUGGGUUCAUGAAAAUAGCCCACAACUAUUCUAAAUUUUUACGAAGUGAGCAGAAAGCAUUUUAGGUGGGUGGAUGGGGGUACGAUUGAUUGGAUAAUUUAAAAUGCAUUGACGGAGUAAGAGAGUUUUGCAGUGGGAUUAAGGACUACUUGACAUUGGUUUUCACACUUGUUAUUUGGGGGAACCUAUUAUCCUUGUCUUCUCAUUUUUUUACAUUUUUAUGCUCAGCUAUCCUUCUUUGCUGCGUUUAUUUUUUUAAAAGAUGCUGAUUGGUUAAGUUUGCACGCAAGUCGAUAAUUCUGAGAUUGCUCUUCAAGUUUGACGUCUAUUCUGGAAAUGUAAGAAUAGAAACUCCUAUUUCGAUGAACCUUACAUAAAAGUGGUUGUAGUUGUUCAAAGUGACUUUUCUAAGCCACUCUAUUUCUUCUGAUAAUUUCACUUGUCCUUCUCUAACAUAAUCUCUUGUUCUUUGAUCCUUGAUGGUUUUUGUGUUUAGCU